CGAUUACGGGAGGCAGCAGUGGGGAAUAUUGCGCAAUGGGGGGAACCCUGACGCAGCCAUGCCGCGUGAAUGAAGAAGGCCUGGGUUGUAAGUUCUUUCGGUAUUGAGGAAGGUUGAUGUGUUAAUAGUACAUCAAAUUGACGUUAAAUACAGAAGAAGCACCGGCUAACUCCGUGCCAGCAGCCGCGGUAAUAUCG
This 197-nucleotide ribosomal RNA is filed under the name uncultured bacterium. RNAcentral describes it as "partial 16S ribosomal RNA". It matches the Rfam family "Bacterial small subunit ribosomal RNA", at positions 335 to 527 of the family's 1533-position model. The record is from RNAcentral.